RNAcentral lists this ribosomal RNA (348 nucleotides) under uncultured bacterium. RNAcentral's name for it is "bacterial SSU rRNA". It matches the Rfam family "Bacterial small subunit ribosomal RNA", at positions 8 to 350 of the family's 1533-position model. The record is from RNAcentral.
AGAGUUUGAUCCUGGCUCAGGAUGAACGCUAGCUAUAGGCUUAACACAUGCAAGUCGAGGGGCAGCAUGUUGGUUGCUUGCAACCAAUGAUGGCGACCGGCGCACGGGUGAGUAACGCGUAUCCAACCUACCCUUGUCCAUCGGAUAACCCGUCGAAAGGCGGCCUAACACGAUAUGCGGUUCUCAGCAGGCAUCUAACGAGAACGAAAUGUGAAGGAGAAGGAUGGGGAUGCGUCUGAUUAGCUUGGUUGGCGGGGUAACGGCCACCAAGGCGACGAUCAGUAGGGGUUCUGAGAGGAAGGUCCCCCANUUGGAACUGAGACACGGUCCAAACUCCUACGGGAGGCA